GAGAGUUUGAUCCUGGCUCAGGACGAACGCUGGCGGCGUGCCUAAUACAUGCAAGUCGAACGCUUCUUUUUCCACCGGAGCUUGCUCCACCGGAAAAAGAGGAGUGGCGAACGGGUGAGUAACACGUGGGUAACCUGCCCAUCAGAAGGGGAUAACACUUGGAAACAGGUGCUAAUACCGUAUAACAAUCGAAACCGCAUGGUUUUGAUUUGAAAGGCGCUUUCGGGUGUCGCUGAUGGAUGGACCCGCGGUGCAUUAGCUAGUUGGUGAGGUAACGGCUCACCAAGGCCACGAUGCAUAGCCGACCUGAGAGGGUGAUCGGCCACAUUGGGACUGAGACACGGCCCAAACUCCUACGGGAGGCAGCAGUAGGGAAUCUUCGGCAAUGGACGAAAGUCUGACCGAGCAACGCCGCGUGAGUGAAGAAGGUUUUCGGAUCGUAAAACUCUGUUGUUAGAGAAGAACAAGGAUGAGAGUAACUGUUCAUCCCUUGACGGUAUCUAACCAGAAAGCCACGGCUAACUACGUGCCAGCAGCCGCGGUAAUACGUAGGUGGCAAGCGUUGUCCGGAUUUAUUGGGCGUAAAGCGAGCGCAGGCGGUUUCUUAAGUCUGAUGUGAAAGCCCCCGGCUCAACCGGGGAGGGUCAUUGGAAACUGGGAGACUUGAG
Molecule: ribosomal RNA, 668 nt
Filed under: Enterococcus faecium P1139
Lineage: Bacteria; Bacillati; Bacillota; Bacilli; Lactobacillales; Enterococcaceae
Description: bacterial SSU rRNA
Rfam family: Bacterial small subunit ribosomal RNA
Source: RNAcentral